CAGUAGCCGCGGGAAUACGAAGGGUGCAAGCGUUACUCGGAAUUACUGGGCGUAAAGCGUGCGUAGGUGGUGGUUUAAGUCCGUUGUGAAAGCCCUGGGCUCAACCUGGGAAUUGCAGUGGAUACUGGGUCACUAGAGUGUGGUAGAGGAUAGUGGAAUUUCCGGUGUAGCAGUGAAAUGCGUAGAGAUCGGAAGGAACAUCUGUGGCGAAGGCGACUAUCUGGGCCAACACUGACACUGAGGCACGAAAGCGUGGGGAGCAAACAGGAUUAGAGACCCGAGUAGUCCCUGUCUCUUAUAC
RNAcentral lists this ribosomal RNA (301 nucleotides) under uncultured bacterium. Its description in RNAcentral is "partial 16S ribosomal RNA". It matches the Rfam family "Bacterial small subunit ribosomal RNA", at positions 509 to 807 of the family's 1533-position model. The record is from RNAcentral.